Molecule: ribosomal RNA, 440 nt
Filed under: uncultured bacterium
Lineage: Bacteria
Description: partial 16S ribosomal RNA
Rfam family: Bacterial small subunit ribosomal RNA
Source: RNAcentral
CCUACGGGAGGCAGCAGUGGGGAAUAUUGCACAAUGGGGGAAACCCUGAUGCAGCGACGCCGCGUGAGCGAAGAAGUAUUUCGGUAUGUAAAGCUCUAUUAGCAGGGAAGAAAAUGACGGUACCUGAGUAAGAAGCUCCGGCUAAAUACGUGCCAGCAGCCGCGGUAAUACGUAUGGAGCAAGCGUUAUCCGGAUUUACUGGGCGUAAAGGGAGCGUAGGCGGCCGGCCAAGUCUGAUGUGAAAUACCAGGGCUUAACCACGGAACUGCAUUGGAAACUGUCAGGCUGGAGUGCCGGAGAGGCAGGCGGAAUUCCUAGUGUAGCGGUGAAAUGCGUAGAUAUUAGGAGGAACACCAGUGGCGAAGGCGGCUUGCUGGACGGUGACUGACGCUGAGGCUCGAAAGCGUGGGGAGCAAACAGGAUUAGAUACCCGGGUAGUC